This 425-nucleotide ribosomal RNA is filed under the name uncultured bacterium. RNAcentral's name for it is "bacterial SSU rRNA". It matches the Rfam family "Bacterial small subunit ribosomal RNA", at positions 355 to 769 of the family's 1533-position model. The record is from RNAcentral.
UCAGGAAUAUUGCGCAAUGGAGGAAACUCUGACGCAGCGACGCCGCGUGGGUGAUGAAGGCCUUCGGGUCGUAAAGCCCUGUCGGAGGGGAAGAAAAGCCCACUGGCUAAUAUCCAGCGGGCCCUUGACGGUACCCUCAAAGGAAGCACCGGCUAACUCCGUGCCAGCAGCCGCGGUAAGACGGAGGGUGCAAGCGUUGUUCGGAUUGACUGGGCGUAAAGGGCGUGUAGGCGGUCGGCCAAGUCUGAUGUGAAAGCCCGGGGCUCAGCUCCGGAAGUGCGUCGGAAACUAGUCGGCUGGAGCGCGAUAGAGGAGGGUGGAAUUCCUGGUGUAGCGGUGAAAUGCGUAGAUAUCAGGAGGAACACCGGCGGCGAAGGCGGCCCUCUGGAUCGUUGCUGACGCUGAGACGCGAAAGCGUGGGGAGC